GUAGUCUUUGCAUGAAGCACAGCUGGAAUUGAAAAUAUUUGCACAUUCCUUUGUCCGUUGUUGUGGACAAUACCAGAAACAGAACUGGACUUUUUCUCAAGGCUUUUGGUUCGGCGCCAGCAGUGUGUGAGUGGCAGUGACGAGAGCAAAGUCAGGAUGACUCCGCCCCCAUCCACAAGGCACAAGGGCUAACUGAACGGCUUAAUGAGGAGGGAAAUCAUAUGCUAUGGCCUUCACACUCACCAGAUCUCAACCCUGUUGUACACCUACGGUGGUACUUGGUACAAAUGUCUCGUUUUGCCGCCAUCGUCGCCAUCAGCUGUAACAUCGAAUCACGUCCACUGGAGACGCCUGUGUCUGUGAGGUGCUAAAGAUUCGACGUAGCAGACGUGAGAACAGGGAAGAAAAACCCUGCUAAAUCUCCCUUUCACUUUCUCUUCAUCCUCCUCUUCUUUCCCUGUAGCCACCUACAGUGAUAAUUCACCAAC
This is a long non-coding RNA of Ictalurus punctatus (channel catfish), 488 nucleotides long. RefSeq lists it as uncharacterized. NCBI's taxonomy places the organism in Eukaryota, Metazoa, Chordata, Actinopteri, Siluriformes, Ictaluridae. The transcript is spliced from 3 exons. The record is from RefSeq and is a predicted model, not a curated record.